UGGGAUAUAGCUCAAUUGGCAGAGCAGGAAACUCUUAAUUUCAAGGUUGCAGGUUCGAUCCCUGCUAUCCCCA
RNAcentral lists this transfer RNA (73 nucleotides) under Cyanobacteria bacterium UBA11049. RNAcentral describes it as "tRNA-Lys". It matches the Rfam family "tRNA". From Rfam's summary of the family: Transfer RNA (tRNA) molecules are approximately 80 nucleotides in length. Their secondary structure includes four short double-helical elements and three loops (D, anti-codon, and T loops). Further hydrogen bonds mediate the characteristic L-shaped molecular structure. tRNAs have two regions of fundamental functional importance: the anti-codon, which is responsible for specific mRNA codon recognition, and the 3' end, to which the tRNAs corresponding amino acid is attached (by aminoacyl-tRNA synthetases). tRNAs cope with the degeneracy of the genetic code in two manners: having more than one tRNA (with a specific anti-codon) for a particular amino acid; and 'wobble' base-pairing, i.e. permitting non-standard base-pairing at the 3rd anti-codon position. The record is from RNAcentral. Lineage: Bacteria; Bacillati; Cyanobacteriota.